UAUUGGGAUUCGAUUUAGCCAUGCUAGUCGAGCGAGUUCAGACUCGCGGCGAAUAGCUCAGUAACACGUGGCCAAGCUCCCCUUCAGUCAGCGAUACCCUCGGGAAACUGAGGUUAACAGCUGGUACAAAACGCCUGCUGGAAUGCAGCGUUUCAGAAAGACAUCGCUGAAGGAUGCGGCUGCGGCCGAUUAGGUAGACGGUGGGGUAACGGCCCACCGUGCCAGUAAUCGGUACGGGUGAUGAGAGUCAGAGCCCGGAGACGGAAUCUGAGACAAGAUUCCGGGCCCUACGGGGCGCAGCAGGCGCGAAACCUUUACACUGUACGGAAGUGCGAUAGGGGAAUCCCAAGUGCGAGGGCAUAUUAGCCCUCGCUUUUCUCGACUGUAAGGUGGUCGACGAAUAAGAGCUGGGCAAGACCGGUGCCAGCCGCCGCGGUAAUACCGGCAGCUCAAGUGAUGUCCCAUAUUAUUGGGCCUAAAGCGUCCGUAGCUGGCCGACCAAGUCUACCGGGAAAUCCACCCGCCCAACGGGUGGGCGUCCGGUAGAAACUGGCCGGCUUGGAACCGGAAGGCUCAGAGAGUACGUCCGGGGUAGGAGUGAAAUCCCGUAAUCCCGGACGGACUACCGACGGCGAAAGCACUCUGAGAAGACGGCUUCGACAGUGAGGGACGAAAGCUCGGGUCUCAAACCGGAUUAGAUACCCCGGUAGUC
Molecule: ribosomal RNA, 712 nt
Filed under: uncultured archaeon
Lineage: Archaea
Description: bacterial SSU rRNA
Rfam family: Archaeal small subunit ribosomal RNA
Source: RNAcentral